RNAcentral lists this unclassified non-coding RNA (352 nucleotides) under soil metagenome. RNAcentral's name for it is "partial contains 5.8S ribosomal RNA, internal transcribed spacer 2, and large subunit ribosomal RNA". The stretch from base 1 to 120 matches the Rfam family "5.8S ribosomal RNA", at positions 35 to 154 of the family's 154-position model. The record is from RNAcentral.
GAUGAAGAACGCAGCGAAACGCGAUAGUUAAUGUGAAUUGCAGAAUUCAGUGAAUCAUCGAGUCCUUGAACGCACAUUGCGCCCAUCGGUAUUCCUUUGGGCAUGUCUGUUUGAGCGUCAUUACAACACCUCAGCACCAGCUGGUAUUGGGCCCGCACCUUGGAAACAGGGUGCCAGCCUUAAAGUUGUAAGCUCUGCUGGCUGCUUUGCCCGACCAAAACGUAGUAAUUUCUUACAUCUCGUUCAGGAAAGCAAAGUCAGACCCGGCCUGAACAAAAUCUUUCAUUCUAAGGUUUGACCUCAGAUCAGACAAGGAUACCCGCUGAACUUAAGCAUAUCAAUAAGCGGAGGA